This 497-nucleotide ribosomal RNA is filed under the name uncultured bacterium. RNAcentral describes it as "partial 16S ribosomal RNA". It matches the Rfam family "Bacterial small subunit ribosomal RNA", at positions 28 to 507 of the family's 1533-position model. The record is from RNAcentral.
GACGAACGCUGGCGGCGUGCCUAAUACAUGCAAGUUGAGCGAUGAAGCUUGGUGCUUGCACCAAUUUGAAGAGCAGCGAACGGGUGAGUAACGCGUGGGGAAUCUGCCUUUGAGCGGGGGACAACAUUUGGAAACGAAUGCUAAUACCGCAUAACAACUUUAAACAUAAGUUUUAAGUUUGAAAGAUGCAAUUGCAUCACUCAAAGAUGAUCCCGCGUUGUAUUAGCUAGUUGGUGAGGUAAAGGCUCACCAAGGCGAUGAUACAUAGCCGACCUGAGAGGGUGAUCGGCCACAUUGGGACUGAGACACGGCCCAAACUCCUACGGGAGGCAGCAGUAGGGAAUCUUCGGCAAUGGACGAAAGUCUGACCGAGCAACGCCGCGUGAGUGAAGAAGGUUUUCGGAUCGUAAAACUCUGUUGGUAGAGAAGAACGUCGGUGAGAGUGGAAAGCUCAUCAAGUGACGGUAACUACCCAGAAAGGGACGGCUAACUACGUG